GCCCUAAUGUCUUCGGUUGGGGCGACCCCGGGGAAUUACAAAACCCCCGAGUGGAAAGAGAGCAUCCCCCCCCCUUUUACUCUUACAACUAAGAGCCUCCGCUCUAAUAAACAUAAUUUCUGACCAAAACCGAUCCGGCAAAGCCGAUCAACGGACCAAGUUACCCUAGGGAUAAUAGCGCAAUCCUCUUUCAGAGUCCCUAUCGACAAGAGGGUUUACGACCUCGAUGUUGGAUC
Molecule: ribosomal RNA, 236 nt
Filed under: Johnius amblycephalus (bearded croaker)
Lineage: Eukaryota; Metazoa; Chordata; Actinopteri; Sciaenidae
Description: partial large subunit ribosomal RNA
Rfam family: Bacterial large subunit ribosomal RNA
Source: RNAcentral